This 230-nucleotide unclassified non-coding RNA is filed under the name plant metagenome. RNAcentral describes it as "partial contains small subunit ribosomal RNA and internal transcribed spacer 1". The stretch from base 1 to 46 matches the Rfam family "Eukaryotic small subunit ribosomal RNA", at positions 1786 to 1831 of the family's 1831-position model. The record is from RNAcentral.
AAGUCGUAACAAGGUUUCCGUAGGUGAACCUGCGGAAGGAUCAUUAACGAGUAAACAGGGGAGUUGUAGCUGGCCGCAAGGCAUGUGCACGCUCUCUACUCAAUCCAACUUUACACCUGUGCACCUAUUGUAGGUCGAGUGGCUGGACUUGUUCUGGUCGCUCUUCCUAUGUUUUACACAUACACUUGUAGUCUCAGAAUGUAAUCCGCGUAUAACGCAUUAUAAAACAA